AUACGUAGGUGGCGAGCGUUGUCCGGAAUUACUGGGUGUAAAGGGCGUGUAGGCGGGGAUAUAAGUCAGGUGUGAAAUACCGGGGCUCAACUCCGGGGGUGCAUCUGAAACUAUAUUUCUUGAGUGCUGGAGAGGAAAGCGGAAUUCCUAGUGUAGCGGUGAAAUGCGUAGAGAUUAGGAGGAACACCAGUGGCGAAGGCGGCUUUCUGGCCAGUAACUGACGCUGAGGCGCGAAAGCGUGGGGAGCAAACAGGAUUAGAUACCCUGGUAGUCCACGCCGUAAACGAUGGAUACUAGGUGUAGGAGGUAUCGACCCCUUCUGUGCCGUAGUUAACACAAUAAGUAUCCCACCUGGGGAGUACGGCCGCAAGGUUGAA
Molecule: ribosomal RNA, 377 nt
Filed under: uncultured bacterium
Lineage: Bacteria
Description: bacterial SSU rRNA
Rfam family: Bacterial small subunit ribosomal RNA
Source: RNAcentral